UGUUAUAUCGCAGCGAUCGGCCUCUCGAUGAUCCUCGUCUUCUUACUCAUCCUCAUUCCUAUCUGGAUCUAUCAAACCCGCGCAGCAGGCAUCGACCGCCAAAGGGAAAGAAGGCGAGGGCGUGGAAGUGAGGCGCAGCCCCCAGGUUCCAUUGUUUACGCCUCGGUCCAGUUCGCCGCCUCGCCUCCCGCCGGCAGGUGAGAACCAGAUUGUGUUUUGUGCCAACGUUGGAUUGUGAAGAGAAGGCCCAAGGCAGCGGCGACACUACAUCCCCCUCUGAAUAUUCCGGGGUUGCCUGAAUCCCUGUGGCUCGGUGCCGGAAAAGCAAAUCAAACAAUGUAAUGUUAGACCUAGAUUAAUCCCGCUAUUGAGGAAUGUUCGAAACCUUAAGGGCAGAGGCCUUUGGCAAGGCGUGUGCAAUUCUUCCAUUCCUCUGAUCUAGGAGUUUUGUUUUUG
Long non-coding RNA from Amblyraja radiata (thorny skate), 456 nucleotides. RefSeq lists it as uncharacterized. NCBI's taxonomy places the organism in Eukaryota, Metazoa, Chordata, Chondrichthyes, Rajiformes, Rajidae. The record is from RefSeq and is a predicted model, not a curated record. The transcript has 3 exons.